This 419-nucleotide long non-coding RNA is filed under the name Fukomys damarensis (Damara mole-rat). RNAcentral's name for it is "lncRNA (ENSFDAG00000031678.1)". Lineage: Eukaryota; Metazoa; Chordata; Mammalia; Rodentia; Bathyergidae. The record is from RNAcentral.
CUGGUCUCAUCUCUGCCUUCCCAUUUGACCUGAACUCCAUUUUUAAUGUAUUUAGUUUCUACAGUAUGUGUGUGUGUUUUUAAAUUCAAACAAGUAAGAAUGGAAGAAGUUCUCUGAGCAUCCAAACGACAGUCUGGUGAGAAAUUCAACUUCAGUUUUUGCUUAGUCUGCCUUCUGGCCCACUUGUCCCAAUACAAGUAACCCAGGAAAUGUGAUGCUGGAUCAUGGCACUGAACCUACUUGCUGUUUACUCUGAUACAUCAUGCUGGUGGCCAUAAAGCCUUCUGUGGGGAGCAAGCAAUAUCUCGUCAUCCAGCAGGUGAGCUAAUGAAGAAGCCUCGGCUGUUACAGCUGAGCCCCCGAUGUCUGAGCAAACCCAAGUAAGCACAACGAUAGCAUCAUUCAAAAAACAAAAACAG